AAAUUGCUUUUGUGAUUUUCCCCCAGUAGUCUGGCAACAUCAAAAAGUCCAGUCUUACAAAAUCGCAUAUUUGUGACAAUGUCAGCAAUAAUAUUUACCCGAAGAUCCAAAACUGCAGCGUGUGAGAUGGAAUGAAAUGUUUUUGAGAGCCUUUAUUGAGACAUAAACCAACCGAAAAGCGAGUCUCCCGGGCAGGAGCAGAGACCGUCCUGCAGCAGCCCAAGAAUAAACAAUAUAGCACCGAGACGAGAUGUAUAAAUAGAAAUAAAUACAGCAAGCACAGAGAAAUAUGAAGCAAUAGUCUAUAAAAUGCAGCUGCACCGGGAUUCGUACUGCCCAGGCUACUUGAAGACACAGCUAUGGGGAAAGAGCCCUCUCCCCUAUUUCAGUUACACGGAUGAGCAAAGCUGUUACACUUGACCUUUGUUUCUAAAUCAUCCUCGGAACAACGGCGGGGGCCGUUGAAUUCCCCUUGAAAAGGAGCGGAGCCGAAAUGGAUCCUGCGAGCAGCGAGCAGAGCCGGACCCGCGGCUGCAGCACGGGGGUCGGGCCGGGCUGUGGGUGCUGGGGAGCGGCGCCGGCUCAGACCGGCACCGGAACCUGCCUGCAUUCUGGAGAGUGCAAAACAGAAGGGGUUGGAAGGUGAGCUCGGCUCAGUCGCCGGUGCAAUAAAUGACCGCACAUUGCAGUACACGGAAAGGCUUCCUUCCCAGUUUUCAGUGGGGUGAGAGGAAUUAAACCGAUGCUUUAUCCCAUGGUGGCAUCAGAAAUCAGCUUCGUAGGAAAUGCCAUUGCGUUGUUCACAGGAGAAAGAUUUAAAAAUGUAGAAAAACCACCACUUUGUAGCUUAAAAAAAAAUAAUAAAAGGGUAUCUUCCACAAAGGUACCUGGCUCUUCACUGGGCGGCCAGAAAGAGCCAUGAAUUAUUAUCUGUUUACUAAAGUGAUGAAAUUCCCUCGAAAAGAUCGAGGGGAGGAAAGCUCCUGCAUUUAUUUGUGAGGACUGUUAUACUGUGUAUGGCGGGGGGGGGCGGGGGGGGAAGAAAAACCAGCACACAAAACAGCGGGGGGAGAGAAAGAAGAUUUCUCACCGAGUCUCAAUACAGCGCCCGCCACACGCGCAUUCAAAAUGUCGGAGCUCCCGGAGGGCGCCCCGGGGAGGGCGCGUCGGGGCGGCCGGAGGUGCGGGGCAGGUCGGGCGGCCCCGGGGAGCGCGGCCGGGAGCGCGGCCGGCGGGCGGGGGGGUGCGCGGGGCUCCGAAACCGUUAGGUUGUCUCCGUGGGUUCCUCUCCCCUUUCUCUUCCUGUCCAAAUAUUUUUAAAUUUACGCGCCUGAAAUAACAGUCUGAUUGCAUUUAUUGGGUUUCCUCCGCGGGCUCCGCGCCGCUCCGUCCCGGCCCAGCCGCGAGGGCCCCGGGCGGCCCGCGCAGUGUCCGCGCAACGUCCGCGCCCCGGCCGCGCCGCCUCCCGCUCCGCCGCCGCGUUUCUUCCAACUUGCGCUGCACGCUUUUUGGUUUUAAAUUUUCUUUCUUUUCCUUUCCUUCCCCCUCCCGCCCCCCCGCAGUCGGGACUUGGAGCCUCCUCAGUGUCACCCGAUGGCUUCGCAGCCCCUCGGCCGCAGUGAGUACAGCGAAGGGACCUGCAGCUGCCGGGGUGCUGGCGACACUCGCUGCGGCUGCUGCCCGGGGCUCCCGCUGCAGAGCCCGGGGCUCUGCUCCCCACCCCAGAUUUCCGAGAUGCAGAAGCAUCUUCUCCUAGCGCAGCCCGCAUAGAAGGCACAAGGCAGCAGGUUCGCCUCCAGGUUUCCAUUACAAACGGGAAGCAAGUAAUGAAGAACUGCUUCCACAACUGAUUUCUGUCCACGAUGCCCUAGUUGUCACAGAAGUCCCAGCACUGGUCAGUGAUAGCUGUCUCCCUGGCAUCUCCAGCCUUCCUGUCCUUCUGCCUCCAGCUUUCUGCUCCUGCCACGCUCUGCUGGUUCCAGGCCUCCUCCCAAACUGCUUCAUCUUCGUCAUCAUCCUUCGCUGCCUCGGCAGCAAGCGAGGGGAGCGACGAUGCGCACAGGAGGGUCUCCCCACAGACAGCAGAGCUGGGGACACGGAGGAGCAGGCCGGGAAGGCUCGCUCUGCACAGGAGCCGCGGGUGAUGCCCGCGCAGCGCCCGGCGCCCAACGGGCCCCGUCAGCACGGGCUGGACUGUAGCUGCCCAAAGCCAACCGUUCUUAACCGAUCACGUGAAAACGGAGAUUCUAUGGAGUCUUAUAACUUUGUUACGUUUGGAUGCACAGCUGUGAAACCACAGCAAUGGUGCUGGCAAACUUCACGUUGCUGCUCAGAAGUUACACGGCUGAAACUGGACUGGUGAUGUGUGUUCCAUUCCAAAUUCCUUCUGCACAGAAACGGGGAUACUGACACUUCUGAAUGAAGCAACCGGAUUAUUAUUUUUUAAUAGGGGCAAAAUAUUUUUUUAACCUUGCUCUUGAAAAUGAGUACAGUGGUUUAGCUGGAAACUGCCAAAAAUUAAACCUGGGGCAGAUGCUUGGCUUGGAAAUUACCAGCCCAAACAGUUACAAGCAGCUGAAAACAAGAUGUUAUUAUGAAGCACCGGACAAGAUGAAGCGGAGCAGUUCCACUGCUUUGGCCUAAAUGUGGAAGAUUUUUAAGUGACCUGUAAUGAAUUUCUUAAUAACAACUUUGUUGAAAUAACCAGAA
Columba livia (rock pigeon) is the source of this 2709-nucleotide long non-coding RNA. RefSeq lists it as uncharacterized. NCBI's taxonomy places the organism in Eukaryota, Metazoa, Chordata, Aves, Columbiformes, Columbidae. The record is from RefSeq and is a predicted model, not a curated record. The transcript is spliced from 2 exons.